Molecule: ribosomal RNA, 254 nt
Filed under: uncultured bacterium
Lineage: Bacteria
Description: partial 16S ribosomal RNA
Rfam family: Bacterial small subunit ribosomal RNA
Source: RNAcentral
UACAGAGGUGGCAAGCGUUGUUCGGAAUUACUGGGCGUAAAGGGCGCGUAGGCGGCCAGCACAAGUCAGUUGUGAAAUCUCCGAGCUUAACUCGGAAAGGUCAACUGAUACUGUGCGGCUAGAGUGCGGAAGGGGCAACUGGAAUUCUUGGUGUAGCGGUGAAAUGCGUAGAUAUCAAGAGGAACACCUGCGGCGAAGGCGGGUUGCUGGGCCGACAUUGACGCUGAUGCGCGAAAGCUAGGGGAGCGAACGGG